RNAcentral lists this ribosomal RNA (670 nucleotides) under uncultured bacterium. RNAcentral's name for it is "bacterial SSU rRNA". It matches the Rfam family "Bacterial small subunit ribosomal RNA", at positions 163 to 849 of the family's 1533-position model. The record is from RNAcentral.
CUAAUACCGCAUAAGCCCACGGCUCGGCAUCGAGCAGAGGGAAAAGGAGCAAUCCGCUUUGAGAUGGCCUCGCGUCCGAUUAGCUAGUUGGUGAGGUAAUGGCCCACCAAGGCAACGAUCGGUAGCCGGACUGAGAGGUUGAACGGCCACAUUGGGACUGAGACACGGCCCAGACUCCUACGGGAGGCAGCAGUGGGGAAUAUUGCACAAUGGGGGAAACCCUGAUGCAGCGACGCCGCGUGGAGGAAGAAGGUCUUCGGAUUGUAAACUCCUGUUGUUGAGGAAGAUAAUGACGGUACUCAACAAGGAAGUGACGGCUAACUACGUGCCAGCAGCCGCGGUAAAACGUAGGUCACAAGCGUUGUCCGGAAUUACUGGGUGUAAAGGGAGCGCAGGCGGGAAGACAAGUUGGAAGUGAAAUCUAUGGGCUCAACCCAUAAACUGCUUUCAAAACUGUUUUUCUUGAGUAGUGCAGAGGUAGGCGGAAUUCCCGGUGUAGCGGUGGAAUGCGUAGAUAUCGGGAGGAACACCAGUGGCGAAGGCGGCCUACUGGGCACCAACUGACGCUGAGGCUCGAAAGUGUGGGUAGCAAACAGGAUUAGAUACCCUGGUAGUCCACACCGUAAACGAUGAUUACGAGGUGUUGGAGGAUUGACCCCUUCAGUGCCGC